This is a non-coding RNA of Serendipita vermifera MAFF 305830, 78 nucleotides long. Lineage: Eukaryota; Fungi; Basidiomycota; Agaricomycetes; Sebacinales; Serendipitaceae. The record is from the annotation of a GenBank genome assembly.
GGACUUUGUAGCUUAACGGUAAGAGCGCACCUUUAAUGGAUUUUGGUGAGGUUCGAGGUUCGAAUCCCGGCGGGUCCG